Electrophorus electricus (electric eel) is the source of this 1313-nucleotide long non-coding RNA. RefSeq lists it as uncharacterized. NCBI's taxonomy places the organism in Eukaryota, Metazoa, Chordata, Actinopteri, Gymnotiformes, Gymnotidae. The record is from RefSeq and is a predicted model, not a curated record.
UGCAAAACAAGGGUUAACAACCUUGAAUGGGUGUGUUUUUUGCUGUAUGCUAAUGUGUGUGUGUGGAGAUGACAAACUUCUAUAAAGGGAUGCUAUUCUCUGGUUUAUACACAAACACACUUUCCUCUUGUCAGGUAAGAUCUAGCUCAAAAACAUGGAUUUUGGAAAGAAAGCCAUUGGACAACAGGCUGAAAAGGCCAUUGAUCAUGCAGCUGGUGUUGUCAAAGAAAAGGUAAACACAGCAAUGGGAGACCUGAACAAGCAAGGAGGAGGUAUCGGUGGGGCGUUGAGUGGUGCAAACGCCAAAGCAACAGCAACAGCAGAAAAGACGGUUGAUCAAGCAGCGAACGCAGGGAAGAAAUUAAUGGGCUGAUUCCUACACAUUUCCUCCUUGCAACCCUACACGUUUCAUGUACAUACUAGGGUCUGUAUACUGCAUCUAAACAGAAUGGCAAAAAUUACUAUAUAAAUCCCUCUUACUUCACAUGAAUAAAAAAAAAGAUUAUAAUUGUGCAGUUGUUUGAUUGACUCUAAUUUGUGUGAAUGUGUGUGAGUAAUACGGUACUUAGCCCAAUCCAUGUAAAAAGCAAAUAAUGACAAAAAGCUUCAUUGACAGACAAGGAGGCAAUUGUAUUUAUUUUAUUUUAAUAUAGAUAUUUUUUAAUUCUCAGCUAAAAAGGCAAUACAAAUUUUCAGAAUCAAAAUUUCCCAAUAAAGGUGUAAAUGAGUUUGGUUGUAUGGUUUGUUCUUACUCUCACCUAUAUACCUCUACCUAGGGAAGGACUUAUGUGGUUUCCUUGUCUUUAAUAUUUAGUUCAGUAUGUUCAGUAAUAUUUAGUUCAGUAUGCGUUAACAACCAAUGGGCUUAAUCCCCACAAGAUCUGGGUGAAUGAAUCAUUCAUUUUAAAAUGGGAAAGGCAGAUACACCAAGUCCCCAAAGCAAAAUUUGAGCAAGACCAGUUUUGGAUGGAUUUCUGGGUAAAACUAAUUCCUCUGAGAAUAAAACUCCACCUCUUCUGUCUAAGGCAUCUUUUGUGACGUCUUUCAUUACUACAGCAAUUAGGGUUCACAAGGUUUGGGCCAACAAAGUCUCAUAAAUCAUAACAUAAUUCACCUUAAACUUGUUUUGAUGGCUGACAAAGAACAAAAAAAAUACUGUCGUCAUAACAAGGGAUGGAGUAGAACGACAGGUCCAGACAAGUAGUGAGACAGAACAGGAGUCUGGACAUUUUCGUCCAGUGAUUCAGCAGAAACAUCUAGCUGCACUGCAGGACAGAUUGAGACAAGGACAGAAACAAAGAACAAAAAAAAAA